This 246-nucleotide ribosomal RNA is filed under the name uncultured bacterium. RNAcentral describes it as "partial small subunit ribosomal RNA". It matches the Rfam family "Bacterial small subunit ribosomal RNA", at positions 26 to 285 of the family's 1533-position model. The record is from RNAcentral.
AGAAUCAACGCUGGCGGCGUGCCUAACACAUGCAAGUCGCACGAGAAAGUGGAGCAAUCCACGAGUAAAGUGGCGCACGGGUGAGUAACACGUGAAUGAUCUACCUCCGAGUGGGGAAUAACUGAGAGAAAUCUUAGCUAAUACCGCAUAACACUUACGAGUCAAAGCAGCAAUGCGCUUGGAGAGGAGUUCGCGGCCGAUUAGCUAGUUGGGCGGGGUAAUCGGCCACCAAGGCGAUGAUCGGUA